GGGAAUGUAGCUCAGUAGCGGAGUGCUUGCCUAGCAUGCAUGAAGCCCUGGGUUCAAUCCUCAGUAUCACUA
RNAcentral lists this transfer RNA (72 nucleotides) under Heterocephalus glaber (naked mole-rat). It matches the Rfam family "tRNA". Rfam says of the family: Transfer RNA (tRNA) molecules are approximately 80 nucleotides in length. Their secondary structure includes four short double-helical elements and three loops (D, anti-codon, and T loops). Further hydrogen bonds mediate the characteristic L-shaped molecular structure. tRNAs have two regions of fundamental functional importance: the anti-codon, which is responsible for specific mRNA codon recognition, and the 3' end, to which the tRNAs corresponding amino acid is attached (by aminoacyl-tRNA synthetases). tRNAs cope with the degeneracy of the genetic code in two manners: having more than one tRNA (with a specific anti-codon) for a particular amino acid; and 'wobble' base-pairing, i.e. permitting non-standard base-pairing at the 3rd anti-codon position. Lineage: Eukaryota; Metazoa; Chordata; Mammalia; Rodentia; Bathyergidae. The record is from Rfam by way of RNAcentral.